CGUCGUCACCCAUCUGCGUGACGUUCAUUGAACACAGAGUGAUACAGACAUUGUUGAGUCAGCCAAUAACUUUCUGGGGGCAUAAGAAGGACCGCUGGAGCUGGAACAAACAGAGAUUGGAUUAUUUUAAAGUUACAUGAUGCUGUUUCAAGUCAGACGAUAAAAUAUAGAAACAUUCUAUUUUCAUCUGUCGUUGCUUGACUGAGUCAUGCUUUUCGAAAAAACAUCUAGUCACACUAAAGGUAAAAAAAAAAAGACUUCAACAAUUUUAAUUUGUACUGUGCCCUGUAAUUUAGGGGUAAAAGAAUCAAAGGUGCGAGCAGUACAAAAUGACUUCAUCAUCAUCAUCAGCCGUGACAUUUAGAUCAGACCAGACUGAGCAACACAACGUUUGAGCCUUCGAGAAGUUACGACUCAACACUGAUACACACAUACUGCACACAAGCACAAAAUGGACCGCAACACAGAAAGUUCACACACACACACAGCGACACGCAACCACUGUGGCAAAGAUGAGGGAAAGUGAGAAUAAGUUCCCAGAACUGUUCUUCACUCUGCUUCUUUUCAAUCCCAGUAUCAUGCAAGAUGAAAUGACUGAAUGUGUUCCUGCCAUGUAACAAUUGUGAAGCAAUGUGACAUAAUAGCUCGACAAACGUCCUGUAACUUGUCAUGUGACACAUCUACAAUGCAGGAGGGACUGAACAUUCAUUUAUACUUGAUGCUGUCCCCAGUCAGACAAGUCCUGGAGAAAUAUCCAAAGUGAAAACAGCCAAAUGCAGGAGCAGUACGGUGCGACAUGUUCGUUUUGUAGUCUGCAUUUUGUGUUGAGCAUUUUUCAAAAAGUAACUUGUGACUAUUCCAAACCAGGCAACUAGUGUAGAAAAAAUGGAAUGUUUUUAAAAGUUGCACCAAAGGAUACAACUAAAUAUCCCAGUUGUUAGGUAUUAUCAGGAUGAAUCAACCAGUUAUGCACGCAUGACGCAAUUACUCCAGCAUCACAUGUGGUGUUUAGAUCAGAUCCACAGACUAACCUGCUUCUAGCUGAGCUGAAACGAUGAAUGUAUGAAUUGAGAAUUAUAAAAAAAAGUAACCCGAGUCAAAAUAGAAAUGUGUGUCGUCGGGUUUAGGUUUUCAAGGUUUUGUGUACAAGGCAAUUGGCUAUAACAUCAGCCGUCCCUAGUUCCAAGCACACUACCUCCCUCUGCCUCUCUGGUAAAGGGCCCCUCGGGUGGUCAACUCAGUCAGCCUCUUGUUGCAGACACGGUUCUAAGACUAUAAUAAGCAUAUCAACUAUACCUUAUUAUAUUAGUGAGUAGUGUCGGCGCUUCACUGAGCGGGUUAUUUAAUUCGCCCGACCUGUUAAGAAACAGGUUCUUGACCUUACAAUGCUACACCUCUUACCGUAGUCUCUUUACUUAGCUUCGUUUAGGGACUCAUGAUCGGAUCCUGAAUCCAUUCCUUUCAAAUAACAUUUUCCCCAUAAAUGCCUAAAACUACCACCUAAUCAUUGACACAAUAAUUCAGGAUGGAAUAAUGCUGCCAUGUGAGACACUCAUUAAAUGUGCAACAGGAGGAAAUCAAACAAUAACUCACCUAUAACCCAAUUGAUGGUAGUAGGUAGGAGCCAGUUGAUUCUUUAGUAGUCAGGGAUCCACGCCGUUGUGCCUUUUCAGUACUUAAUUCGUACUCAAUUUUAUUUUGUUUUUUGUCACAAAAAUGUUUCUUCAAAAAAUUAAUAAAAGAAUAGUAAAAACAGCAAAGUCAACCAAAAACAAUAAAAUCCAUAAACUCAAGGGUAUUGCCAGACGCUGAUACCCAACAAUAUCAAAAGUACCGCCAGACGCUGGUACUAGUACAUAUACUUCAAAAACCAUAUAAUCAAAAAUACUUCAAAAACCGUAUAAUUAAAAAUACUUCAAAACCAUAUAAUCAAAAUUACUUCAAUAACCAUAUAAUCAAAAACACUUCAAAAGCCGUAUAAUUAAAAAUACUUCAAAACCAUAUAGUCAAAAAUACUUCAAAGACCGUAUAAUUAAAAAUAUUUCAAAACCAUAUAAUCAAAAAUACUUCAAUAAAAAGGAUUAAUUCAAAAAUAGUAAAAGAGAAAUAAAAGAUGAGUUGAAAUCAAAUGGUCCGAGAGCAAACAGCAAGAGCACCGUCCCAAGAUAAGAUAAAAACUUACAGCGGACAGACGCGGGCGAAGAUCCAAAAAGAGCAAGAAGUCAGGGUCACAUCUCCGAGCGCUUAUAUAGCCACACACGGCUUUGAAGACAUACCGACAUCCGUUUUCUCACGCCAAGCCAAUUAGUCAUAUCUAUAACUUAUCUUGUUUUUCUCCAGAUGGCCUUUUGAAGUUCCUCCCUCAAAAGGAUACAUGUUCGGUGAUAGAUCAUAUUAGUGUCAAUUGCGUCAGCACUUACAUCAUUUUUUAUACGUCACUGAUGCCUGGUUCACCAUAUUAGGUCAGUACAUCUACUCCAUCUUUGCCAGCACGUGCGCACAAGUUCAAACUAAGUUCAAGAUGGCCACUUUCUCAUGACUUCAAAUGAGCGCGCCUACAAGGUCAUUCUCAGAUCCAAGCACACAGCUGUUCGUGAGUUCAAACGCGCACGAUCAAACGCAUACAGGUUCACUAAAGUUCGAAACAUCAAACAAUUAAUGAUAAAAAAUCAGAAACAAUAUCAAAUAUUAUUUAGCAGGUCCAUUAAUGAUAAAAACAGAAACAAUGUCAAAUAUUAUUUAGCAGGUUUUGAUUAUAAUAUUUUCGAACUUCCAGUGUAUACAACAAUGUGUUGAAAUUAAAUCUUUCCAUUUUGAAAAAACUGUGUUUGUAUUGUUCAUUUUCACAAAAUGUUAAUGCUGAAGUAAAGCUUGUGAACAAAUUCAGAUAUUGUAUUUUCAUAUUUCUUCACAAGUUACAGGUGUAUUCUCAGUUAUUAUUUAUCAACUGUGUUUCAAAACAAACAACUGGCAAUCAUUAAACUGGUUGACAUUGUGGGUUCGUGAACCUGUUUUGGUCUGGUCUGUUUUGUCUGUGUUCGCAAGUUACCAUAACAGAAUAGUUUUGGUAGGCGAGCUGUUCAUGUUAUAAAAGCUAAUCGCAGCACUGAAGCCUGUCAGUACAUUUGU
Long non-coding RNA from Synchiropus splendidus (mandarinfish), 3129 nucleotides. RefSeq lists it as uncharacterized. Lineage: Eukaryota; Metazoa; Chordata; Actinopteri; Syngnathiformes; Callionymidae. The record is from RefSeq and is a predicted model, not a curated record. The transcript has 3 exons.